This 75-nucleotide transfer RNA is filed under the name Cordylochernes scorpioides. RNAcentral describes it as "tRNA-Thr". The record is from RNAcentral. Lineage: Eukaryota; Metazoa; Arthropoda; Arachnida; Pseudoscorpiones; Chernetidae.
GUCCAGGGGCGGGAAUCGAACCCACAACCUUCCGCUUACCGGGCAGAUGCCAUGUCCACUAGGCAUUACUCUGUA